This 665-nucleotide small RNA is filed under the name Malus domestica (apple). RNAcentral describes it as "sRNA MD13G0217700". Lineage: Eukaryota; Viridiplantae; Streptophyta; Magnoliopsida; Rosales; Rosaceae. The record is from RNAcentral.
CUCUCUUCAUUCUCUCAGAUUCUCACUCUCCCUCGACUCCCUCGACUCCCUCUCCCUAUCCCUUCCUUCCCUCGACUUCAACUCUCAUACUCUUUCACUCUCACUCACACACUUACUCUCACAGUGCUCACCGCCGUCGGCACCAACUCUCAGACUCUCACAGUGCUGUCGCGACCAACACAACGGCACCACCUUUGCCGUCGUGACCACCAUCAUCACCCCAUCACCACCACCGUUGCGACCACCUGCUGCUACUAAAAUUUAGGCACUCCAUGGACUGAAGAGGAACAUACUAACUACAUAGCUUGGUAAAGGUGAUUGGCUGACGAUAUAGGUGCCAGCAUUGGUCUUCUUUAAAUUGAAAAUAAGUGAUUUAGUUUAGACUUACAUUUACCAUGGGUAGUGAGUUUAAUUGUUCGCUCUUUAUGCCCAUUUGCUCUUUAUGGUUAAUUGUGUUCACUCUGUUCAUAGUUUUUUUGCUUAGUUAACUCAGCAUUUUAGUUACUAUAUAGUUAUUUGUUGGAGAUUUUGGUAGUGAGUUUUUUAAGUGAUCUGAUAAUUCGGUUUUCGACUUUGCGCAUAUUUAGGUGAACUUGAUCAUGGGUGAAUCUGAUAUGGAGAUUUUGGUUUUUAGGGGUUUAGGAGCUGGUGAGUCUAUAGAAUAA